Molecule: ribosomal RNA, 437 nt
Filed under: uncultured Oscillospiraceae bacterium
Lineage: Bacteria; Bacillati; Bacillota; Clostridia; Eubacteriales; Oscillospiraceae
Description: bacterial SSU rRNA
Rfam family: Bacterial small subunit ribosomal RNA
Source: RNAcentral
ACGGGAGGCAGCAGUGGGGAAUAUUGGGCAAUGGGCGAAAGCCUGACCCAGCGACGCCGCGUGAGGGAAGAAGGUCUUCGGAUUGUAAACCUCUGUUGUAAAGGACGAAACAAAUGACGGUACUUUACGAGGAAGCCACGGCUAACUACGUGCCAGCAGCCGCGGUAAUACGUAGGUGGCGAGCGUUAUCCGGAUUUACUGGGUGUAAAGGGUGUGUAGGCGGGGAAGCAAGUCAGAUGUGAAAAUUAUGGGCUCAACCCAUAACCUGCAUUUGAAACUGUUUUUCUUGAGGGUCGGAGAGGUAAACGGAAUUCCUGGUGUAGCGGUGAAAUGCGUAGAUAUCAGGAGGAACACCGGUGGCGAAGGCGGUUUACUGGACGAAACCUGACGCUGAGACACGAAAGUGUGGGGAGCAAACAGGAUUAGAUACCCUGGUA